RNAcentral lists this ribosomal RNA (402 nucleotides) under bacterium. RNAcentral describes it as "partial 16S ribosomal RNA". It matches the Rfam family "Bacterial small subunit ribosomal RNA", at positions 355 to 776 of the family's 1533-position model. The record is from RNAcentral.
UGGGGAAUUUUGCACAAUGGGGGAAACCCUGAUGCAGCGACGCCGCGUGAUUUAGAAGGCCUUCGGGUUGUAAAAAUCUUUUUUACGGGAUGAAAAUGACAGUACCGUAAGAAUAAGGUCCGGCUAAAUACGUGCCAGCAGCCGCGGUAAUACGUAUGGACCGAGCGUUGUCCGGAAUCAUUGGGCGUAAAGGGUACGUAGGCGGCCUAGUAAGUUAGAAGUGAAAUAAUAUAGCUCAACUAUAUAAAGCUUUUAAAACUGCUAGGCUUGAGGGAUGGAAGGGAAAGUGGAAUUCCUAGUGUAGCGGUGAAAUGCGCAGAUAUUAGGAAGAAUACCGGUGGCGAAGGCGACUUUCUGGUCAUCAUCUGACGCUGGGGUACGAAAGCGUGGGUAGCAAACAGG